UGUUGGUGGAAAGGGAUUUUGUACUGGUUUUAUAUGGGCUCACGGCCUAUCAGCUUGGUGGUGAGGUAACGGCUCACCAAGGCGACGACGGGUAGCCAGCCUGACAGGGUGACCGGCCACACUGGGACUGAGACACGGCCCAGACUCCUACGGGAGGCAGCAGUGGGGAAUAUUGCACAAUGCGCGCAAGCCUGAUGCAACGACACCACGUGAGGGAUGACGGCCUUCCGGUUGUAAACCUCUUUCAGCAGGGGAGAAGCCAAAGUGACGGUACCUGCCCAAGAAGCCCCCGCUAACUACGUACCACCACCCUCGGUAAUACUUAAGGAGCGAGCGUUGUCCGGAAUUAUUGGGCGUAAAGAACUAGUAAGCCGUUGGGCCCCUCCCCUGUGAAAGCCCGCGGCUUAACCCCGGGUUUUUAGUGGUUACGGGUCAGACCACCACUGCGCGGGGGGGAUACUUGGAUUUUCUGGU
RNAcentral lists this ribosomal RNA (474 nucleotides) under Rothia sp. (in: high G+C Gram-positive bacteria). Its description in RNAcentral is "bacterial SSU rRNA". It matches the Rfam family "Bacterial small subunit ribosomal RNA", at positions 194 to 674 of the family's 1533-position model. The record is from RNAcentral. Lineage: Bacteria; Bacillati; Actinomycetota; Actinomycetes; Micrococcales; Micrococcaceae.